This 101-nucleotide transfer RNA is filed under the name Sneathiella sp. Its description in RNAcentral is "tRNA-Leu". Lineage: Bacteria; Pseudomonadati; Pseudomonadota; Alphaproteobacteria; Sneathiellales; Sneathiellaceae. The record is from RNAcentral.
AUCGGAAUAGCUGUGUUCACAAUAUCAGAAAAAUAUAAUAAAUACUAAAUUGCGGAAUCAUAAUCCGCGUGUCGGGAGUUCAAGUCUCUCCUCCGCUACCA